GCCAUCGAAUUGUGUAUGAACGGUCCAGAUGCAGCGGACGGCAACCUCCUCCUGUUUUCUCUGAAAAAGCAGAGGCGGCGGUCGGUCUUUCCCCACGAACAGCCGUCUCCUGCCUUCGUUCGCGAUCGAGGGAAGUCUCCGCCGGAGUCAGGGACCUAGGGUUUGAGGAUCGUCGGAAGGGGCGCAGGGUGAGGAGCGCGAGGAGGGGAAGAUGAUCGAGGUGGUGCUGAACGACCGCCUGGGGAAGAAGGUGCGGGUCAAGUGCAACGAGGACGACACCAUCGGCGACCUCAAGAAGCUGGUGGCGGCGCAGACGGGGACGCGCCCCGAGAAGAUCCGCAUCCAGAAGUGGUACAACAUCUACAAGGACCACAUCACCCUCAAGGACUACGAGAUCCACGACGGCAUGGGCCUCGAGCUCUACUACAACUAGCUGCCCUGACUCCACAUGCCUUUGUUAUCAGGUUGAUCUGAAUUCUGAAGCCAUGGGUGCAAUUCCAGUCGCAGCCUCCUAAGUUCAUACAUAUAAGCAACCUGAGUGAGCUAUGCGAGACAUGGUUGUGCCAAACUAUCAAUGACUAUUGACAGAUUCGCAUAUGUUGCUGUGUGAUCAACCUGCAAACUUGGUGUGCUGCUACUCGUGCUAUAAAUAACGUAGUGCUCAACUUUGGUUGCGGUAAUCGCCAUCUUUUGUCA
Molecule: long non-coding RNA, 696 nt
Organism: Setaria italica (foxtail millet)
Lineage: Eukaryota; Viridiplantae; Streptophyta; Magnoliopsida; Poales; Poaceae
Exons: 2
Source: RefSeq, a predicted model, not a curated record